CGUUCACGUCGGGGAUUGCAGUGCCUUGGGAUUGUGGAGGAUUAUAUUUUGUCGGGGAGUUUCCAAAUUGGGAUGGGUAACAGUUUUGCCUUUGAUUUCCAAAAUGUGAUAGAUAAUACUAUUUUUCUCACAGUAAUGGAUUAUUGUUUCAAAGUCAGGUGGGCUGAGUGGAAUGGGAUGUACAGGGAUGAUGUUAGAAGAUUUAUCAAGGUAUACAACGUUAAAAUCUGGUAUACACCAAUGCUGUUAGAAGAAGCCUUAUUGCAGAAACACUCUUAUGUUCCACAUUAUUUAGGGUAUGAAAGGAAGCUUUGCUACUCGGGUUGCAGGAUCUUCUGAUCUUUACCAGGUUAACCAGCGGAAGCCUCCUUACCACGGUGUAAAUUUCAUAAUUGCGCAUGAUGGAUUCACAUUGAGAGAUCAUACAAUUCUAAGGUACUUUUGAUUUCUCAUGUAAUGAUGUUGCAGCCUGGAUGAGUGUCCAUUCCUUACAUAUCUCUUCUGUAAUCUGGAACUGUGGUUUGGAAGGUACAGUUUAUAACGUUAUCAAAACAUUGAAAGUUUCUUGUUUUAGUAUUCAAGUUUAUACUCUGUUUCUUGUCAGGGGAAACUGGCAGAUGAAGAAUUUUCAUUUAGCUUUGAUGAUUUCUCAGGUAAAACCAUUGCCAACAUACAUGAAUGAUAUUGUUGUUAACAAUCUUAUAUGAGACCGACCUUGAUCAAUGAUGCUAAUGGGAGACGAAUAUGGACAUUACCCGAUAUGGUAAUAACAAUAGCUAAUACUGCUCUCAACAAUUUCCAGUGGAAAGAGGCAAGUCUUAUAUCUUAUAAGUUAAUAUGGAUGGAUUCUCCCCUGUAAGGCUGUAACUGUUGUAUCAUGGCUUGUUUGUUAUUUUAAAAUCCAGCUCGACGCAAAGAAUAGCAGAACCAUUUUAGGUUCUUUUCAGAGUUGAUCAAGUUCCGACAUACACACCAUGCAUGUGUACUCAAGCACGAAAAUUUCCUCAGCAAAGCUCCAUGAUAGUGUAAGCGGCCAAGAUGUGUAUGCGGCUUUCAACCCCCAUGACUACUUUGUCACCGUCGAGAAAACAAUGGUUCCGUGCGGCUGACACAAACAUGGAGUCACCAGAUGAUUUUGUAAAGGAAGGUGUGUCUGAGACAUACAAUGUGGCUCCAUUCUCUUCGAUCCCUCUCAAGUCCAUGUAAAGGAAAGUACAUCCUUGGUCUGAUUCAUAAGUAUUUGAUUAAUAUGUAAAAUUCUAAAAUAGAAGACAACUUCUAUCAAAAGAUGCAAAAAUAUAUAAUUUAUUUCGAGGGAUUUUUUAAGUUUUCAUUCACCCCCAAACUCUUAUGUAUCCUCUUUUUCUUCGAUUCAUCUCUAACAAAGGCUUGCAUCAGAUUUGAACAUGGGAACCAAACAUAAAUAUCGAUUAUAUGUAAAUUCUAAUCAAAAGAAACUAUAUAUGUUAAACUAAACAUGUGACAGGGCUGUGAUGAUGCAAACUUCAAGUCUAAGGAAACUAUUCAAGAAUAAAACAUAGCAAAUUUAACAAAACAUAUAACAAAGUUUUAAA
Brassica napus (rape) is the source of this 1574-nucleotide long non-coding RNA. RefSeq lists it as uncharacterized. The transcript is spliced from 4 exons. NCBI's taxonomy places the organism in Eukaryota, Viridiplantae, Streptophyta, Magnoliopsida, Brassicales, Brassicaceae. The record is from RefSeq and is a predicted model, not a curated record.